RNAcentral lists this ribosomal RNA (472 nucleotides) under uncultured bacterium. Its description in RNAcentral is "partial 16S ribosomal RNA". It matches the Rfam family "Bacterial small subunit ribosomal RNA", at positions 28 to 507 of the family's 1533-position model. The record is from RNAcentral.
GACGAACGCUGGCGGCGUGCUUAACACAUGCAAGUCGAACGAUGAACCCGGAGCUUGCUCUGGGGGAUUAGUGGCGAACGGGUGAGUAACACGUGAGUAACCUGCCCUGGACUCUGGGAUAAGCGUUGGAAACGACGUCUAAUACCGGAUAGGACCUUGGAUCGCAUGAUCUGGGGUGGAAAGUUUUUUCGGUCUGGGAUGGACUCGCGGCCUAUCAGCUUGUUGGUGAGGUAAUGGCUCACCAAGGCGUCGACGGGUAGCCGGCCUAAGAGGGUGACCGGCCACACUGGGACUGAGACACGGCCCAGACUCCUACGGGAGGCAGCAGUGGGGAAGAUUGCACAAUGGGCGAAAGCCUGAUGCAGCAACGCCGCGUGCGGGAUGACGGCCUUCGGGUUGUAAACCGCUUUUAGUAGGGAAGAAGGGCUUCGGCUUGACGGUACCUGCAGAAAAAGGACCGGCUAACUACGUG